GAAAUCAAUAGUCAGAUGCUUAACCGACUGAACCACCAAAGGCACCUCUGUCUGUGUCUAUUCUACUUGCUCUACACCAUCUCUACCUCAUUCAAGGAUGGUAAAGCUUGGGACGCUGGUACAAGACAUGACUCUAGGAAGUGUGAGAGACAGGCUGCUUCUAUGAUGGUGAAAGCCAACAUGCUGGACAACAAGUUGUCGCAGACUGGACACUGGAAAAGCUCAUAACCCAGAAAUGCCAAUGGAAGCAGAAAAACAACAACUAUCUUGUGUAUCUAAAGGACAGGAAAGGAGCAGCCUCAGAAGACAGAAAACUUUCAGACAAUAACUACUCUGCUAUGGGCAAUACCACAGAAACAACUGUGGCCUCACUCUGAUCCACACCAGGAAAUUCCUCCCCUCCAAAUGUUAACAAGCUUCCUUCCCACCAUCCAAGGUAUGAAUGGAGACCACUUGAGAAGCUUGUACUUUCAACUCCACCCACUAGUGAUGAGGCAACCUUUCUCCUGCCUGCGGUUAUGGUGUCAGAGGAGACCAAAGAGAGAGUUAGGACUUUCAGCAUCACCCAACAGUAACCAGGUGACAUCCCUCCCACGGUGCCAGUGGUGGCCACAUGGAGAGCAGCAACAGGGCCCUCUUACCCCUCAGAGCCUGAGGCCUCAGAGGCACCUGGCUACUUCAGGUAUUUCAUACUGUUAAAGCAAAUAUUUUUUUUUUAAGUGCAAAAGAAUUAUAUAAGGGAACUGUCAAGUAUAAUAGGGGUAUUUUUUUCUAUUAUUCAGGGGUUUUCAUCACUUUCUUCAAUUCAGUGAGCUUCCUAUUCAUCUUUCCAAUAAAUCCUUCUUCUAUUAUGGAUGUUAUAAUGCUCUGUAUUUCCUAGAAACACCAAUAGUUUUGUUUUUGUCACGUGAUCAGGGUCCACCAAACGGUCAUUCACACGAGAUAUAAGAGUCAAAAGUAACCAAGUUUUGAACCUUCCUUAA
Molecule: non-coding RNA, 983 nt
Organism: Leptonychotes weddellii (Weddell seal)
Lineage: Eukaryota; Metazoa; Chordata; Mammalia; Carnivora; Phocidae
Source: RefSeq, a predicted model, not a curated record